CAUCACCGUGAGUAAUCACGGAUGAUUAGCAGGCAGAAGUCAGCAGACGGCAUAGUAGUCAACGCCCGGGGUAAUGCCCGGUUCAUGGCGAAGGCC
Molecule: non-coding RNA, 96 nt
Organism: Spirochaeta africana DSM 8902
Lineage: Bacteria; Pseudomonadati; Spirochaetota; Spirochaetia; Spirochaetales; Spirochaetaceae
Source: Rfam